RNAcentral lists this ribosomal RNA (253 nucleotides) under uncultured bacterium. RNAcentral describes it as "partial 16S ribosomal RNA". It matches the Rfam family "Bacterial small subunit ribosomal RNA", at positions 524 to 776 of the family's 1533-position model. The record is from RNAcentral.
UACAGAGGGUGCAAACGUUGCUCGGAAUCAUUGGGCGUAAAGCGCACGUAGGCGGCCCAGCAAGUGGGGAGUGAAAGCCCUCGGCUUAACCGAGGAAGUGCUUUCCAAACUACUGGGCUUGAGUACUGAAGAGGGUCGCGGAAUUCCCGGUGUAGAGGUGAAAUUCGUAGAUAUUCGGAGGAACACCAGUGGCGAAGGCGGCUCACUGGUCCAUUACUGACGCUGAGGUGCGAAAGCGUGGGGAGCAAACAGG